Long non-coding RNA from Anolis carolinensis (green anole), 1114 nucleotides. RefSeq lists it as uncharacterized. The transcript has 3 exons. Lineage: Eukaryota; Metazoa; Chordata; Lepidosauria; Squamata; Anolidae. The record is from RefSeq and is a predicted model, not a curated record.
UUGUCUGCUGGAGGCAAGUAUGAAUGCUGCAAUUAGCCAGAAUGAUUAGGAUGUAAUGGCCUUUCAGCUUCAAAACCUGGCUACUUCCUCCCUGGGGGAAUAUUUUGUUGGGAGGUGUUAACGGGCCCGGAUUGUUUACUGUCUGGAAUCCCCCUGUUUACAGAGUGUUUUUCUUUAUUUACUGUUCUGAUUUUAGAGUUUUCUAAAUAUUGGAAGCCAGAUUAUAUUCAUUUUCAUGGCUCACAGCAACACAAUGAUGAUGAUGAUGAUGAUGAUGAUGAUGAUGAUGAUGAUGAUGAUGAUGAUGAUGACUCUGAUAAUACACAUUAUUUUUCUCUCUCCCUAGCUUCCUCCUUGGGGGAAUCCUUUAUUGGGAGAUGUUAGCUGGCCCUGAUUGUUACCUGUCAGGAAUUCCCCUGUUUUCAGAGUAUUGCUCUUUAUUUACUGUCUGGAUUUUAGAAAUUAUAUUGUUCUGUUUUAUUAUACCACAGUAAUUUUUGUUGGGGUAUAAUGAAGCUCUGUAUGUGCUAAAGAAAAAACUACACUGCUGAUCAUAACAAGGAGGAGCUAAUCUAAGUCAGCAGCUAAGUAAUUAAGUUUGGACCACACCCGGUGGGGUGUAUCUGUGUCUGUGUGUAUUAACUUCUGCUCUCCUACUUUUGGUUUCAUUUUUGCUUUUUGGAUCUUUCUCUUGGAAGAAGAGGGCGGGGAAGCCAUGCUUUUUGUUUUUUGCAAUGCUUUUUGAAUCUCGAAAUUCUUACAAGGACUAUUGCAUCUUCUCAACCACCCUCCAGACAGAAAAAAGAAAUCUCAGAUCUAAAAGUUAAUGACAGCAGUACUAUGAAGUCAAGAAUGUAAAAAGAAGUUACAAUGUGCAAAUGCAAAGCUGAAAACAAAAUAUAACUGCAUAAAGCAUGUGCUGAGAAAGCUAUUUUACCUUCAACAAAUGGAUGACUUCUAAGCAUCAAUUAAAAAAUGGGUCACAAGGAGCAGAAAGAAAGCGCUAGCUCUUUUUUGCUUCCCGGACCCCAACACAAAGACAUCAUUUAUCUGUUCUGUCCUCUUUUUGAUGCAGAGGAGGGCAGAGUGGUGAUCCUUACUCUCUCAUUUCCAC